Molecule: non-coding RNA, 26 nt
Filed under: Rattus norvegicus (Norway rat)
Lineage: Eukaryota; Metazoa; Chordata; Mammalia; Rodentia; Muridae
Source: RNAcentral
UACUGUCCCGAGACAUGUUCCCUGAC